RNAcentral lists this long non-coding RNA (2988 nucleotides) under Mus musculus (house mouse). RNAcentral's name for it is "long non-coding RNA chr17:70750676-70753664". Lineage: Eukaryota; Metazoa; Chordata; Mammalia; Rodentia; Muridae. The record is from RNAcentral.
ACACUUUUAAUCUGCUGACUACACCCUCCUCUGCAGGGUUGUUUUUGGAAUUCAAAGAGACCAGCUACAGCCUUGGGUUCAUUAACACACAGUGAAUGGGGGAUAGAGGUUGGAGUAACUUGAUAACAAUUUUAAUCUUGACUUCAAAGGGACUGGAAGGUUGCUGGGUUUUGUUUCGUUUAACUGAAAAUUUUUGGCAAAUGACAAGCAUCCGCGCCCCACCUGUCUCUUUAUCCACGCUAGAAAUACAUCCCUGUACAUGGUAGGUGUGUGCUCUACGGCAGGGCUAUACGCUACGGAGGCAGGGCAAGUUCAGCCGUCAGGGAUACUUUAAAUAGUCUUGUAGUCAGAAAGAUCCCCCAGGAGCACCUGGAAAGUUUCUUCCGAUUUGUGCCCUCGGCUGUCGAGGAGCAGCAGUUAAAGAGAGUCUGUCCUUCUCAGGGCUGCUCUUGCUAUCUGAGUAUGCAUAAGAAACCCGCAUCCUAACACGCAUCCUUUCUCUGAGGCCAUUACAGAUUAACUUGUAGAGUUUUCCCUUUGAAAAAGGAGGAAGGAGUGAGAUGAAUAAUUAAGAGCUAACCUUCAGAGACCCUGGGAGGCUUGCACCUCCCACAGGCCCCGCCCUCCCCGGACCCUGCUGGAACUAACCGGAAGGAAAGAACGGUUUCCUUUCUGGCUUCUCCACAAAUCGCGGUUUCCAAGGCACAAGAUUCCCGACCUCCUUCUUCAGGCCGCUCUCAGUGCCAGGCACUGAGACAAGGAGGCAUCACCUGAGGCUGAGAUUUAGCAGACCCGGGCUCCCGUAGAUGUGAUUUGUGAACAGGCCUCUCACUUCCUGAAGCAGCACAGAGGACUACCAUGCGCUGGAUACUCUCCUCCCAUUCCGGAGCGCGCUAUGGCCUUGGCCCCAGGAAGAGUGAAUCGCGGCUGAGAUCUGUUUACUAAACCCAGGCCGGCAGACGUUUGUGGUCCCCAUUUGGGUUUGUCCUAACACUCAGGGACUCCAUGCUAGUUCUGUUGAAAUGAGAAGGGUUCUUGGAAAGAUGCCAUGAUAAAACCCAAAUCGUGAGUGUAACCUAAAAUAAGAGACUUUCAAACCAGGCUGAAGAUGCAGCUAAGUUUGUGGAGUACUUGACUAGCAUGCAAAAAAAAAGUAAUGGUUUUAGUCGCAGUACUUCGUUUAACAAAAAAAAAAAAAAAAAAAAGGCUUAGUGGUCCAUGCCUGUAACCCCACCCCUUAGGAGGUGAGUAAGAUCAGAAGUUCAAGGUGGUUCAAGCUCAAUAUCAAAACAAAACAACGAAGGUUCUCAGAAGGGAGAACAACUACCUUGGUGUGUCUGUGAUCCCAACCCUUGGCAAGUUUGAAGCUGGAGGAUGAGGGGCUCGAGGUCAGCUUCGAGUACACAGCGAGUUCUAGGGCAGCCUAGGCCGUGGGAGACAAAAACCCAGUAAUGAUGAGUGGAAAGAACUCGUGGGAAGCAAAGCAGUCACAGAUAAGGGAGGUUUGGUAUCCCGGGCCCUCAGCAGCAAUCUCAUCGGACCUGAGUGCACCACCAGGCAGACAAGGGAGGAUGUUAGCUGGAUAAGGCACAGGAGUAGAGAUACGUUCCUCAUGUUGAUGAGAAUAGAAUCCCAGGCCUCAGGCAUGGAUGACUAUCCAAGCAUCUCAACACUGGCGUUCGACGUACUAGCUCUGUGGCAAAAGCUGACUAGUCGUAGCUGAACUUAGCCAGCACUUGACGAGUGCCAACAGAACUGGCCACAACUGCCUAUGUAGUAGCUUUGGUAGCUUUGGAGCAUUGACUGUAGAACACCCUCAUGUGCUGUGUCCUAGUGUACUAGAACAUUCAGCUACUGUCUCUUGUAUAGUAUUUGCAUGUAGCCUGUUGCACAUCCGGCAAUAUAAGCCAUUUUGAGAUUACUUCUUACAGAAAUUCAAUUUCUUUCUAACUGCAAAUGCUUUAUAAAUAUUGUUUUUUUUUAUUUUGUGGUUCUAGAGAGCAAACCCAGGACCUGCCCAAUACCAGCUAAGCACUCUACUACUGAAAUAGACAUAUAUAUAUAUAUAUAUAUAUAUAUAUAUAUGUAUGUAUGUAUGUAUAUAUAUACUCUAAUACUGAUAUAGACCCAUAAGCCUCACUCGGGAUGGCCUGGAACUUGCUAUAUAGACUGCAAAAACCUCAAACUCAUAGAGAUCCUCCUGCCUCAGCCUCCCAAGUUCUGGGCUUACAAGUAUUCACCAACCCAAUGUUAGUUUUCUGAGACAAAUAUUCAACUUGUAGCACAGGCUGGCUUUCCAUUUGCAAUCUCCCCUGCCUCAGCCUCCUGCAUGGUAGGAAUUAUGUGGACAUACACCAAGCAAAUACUUGUUAUACUGUCUGUAUAUAGAGAAUAGCAAAGAAAAGUCUGUGCGUGUUCAAAAAUGAGUCAAUUCAAGACAGAUCAGAUUAGAUUAAAGGCCGGUUUCUUGGGAAGCUGCUCUGGAGGUGGGGGGAGACGGGGAGGGGAGAAAGAGUCCUCAUACAAAGAGGGAAAAGGAGAGGAAAGAGAGAGACCCAAACGUCAGGAUUAGAUAGGAAGGAGCCACUAAGGGAAUGGCAGCCCAGCCCUGGACUGGAAAAUUCAAUGAUGGGAGCAGGGUAUGCCAGGUAGGGAGUGAGGGAUGCUGGGAGAACCUGGAGGCCAGGUCUGCUUUGAUAUAUAUACACCUCAGUUGCUUGUCCAGGGGUUCAAAACCAAACACUUGAACUUCUGAUAUUCCUGAGCUACAGGUAUGUGCCACCACACCCAACGGGCAGCCGGCUUUUGUCAAAACUCAGUCUGCCCUGAGGGCUUGGUAGACCAGCUGCCCAAACAGGAAGCCUUAUAUAAUUCUGUAACCCUGACCUUGGGCCCUGAAUCUCUCUCUUCUGUAAACAGUCCAUUCAACUCAGGAAGGCCUGUAGGCCAGACGGGGACAUAUUUUGAAAAACACACAAUUACAAAUGC